Non-coding RNA from Equus caballus (horse), 1190 nucleotides. The record is from RefSeq and is a predicted model, not a curated record. Lineage: Eukaryota; Metazoa; Chordata; Mammalia; Perissodactyla; Equidae.
CAAUAUUGCCCCCUGCAGUUUGGUCACUCUGGACCGAGGCCUUGAGGGGUGCCUGUUGGGGGACAGGGAGCUCGGCACAAUCCAGGCAUGCAGAGGAGCGAAGCUGGGGGGACCCUGGGCCUGUGAGCAGGGCAGCCCGACCCUGGGGAGAGGGGCGGCCGAGUCCUCAGGAGAAGGGACCCCUCUGGGCCAGCCUGGACUGCAGACCCAAGCAGGCAGAGUGUGUGGCUGAGGUCAGCGGUCGCCCAGCCAGGGUGACUGAGCUGUGCCAGGGGCCCUGUCCUCCGCCUGACCCUGGUCCCUACCCAGCACACCUGUUGGAGCCGCACAAAGGGGGAUGAUUCCGGAGCAGCGGCUGCUGUCAGACAGGCAGACUCCUGGCGAGCCUGGCUCACACGGCCUCAGACCUGCCCGAGAGCAACUCACCGCCUUGCCUGCUGACACAGAUUCCAACCAGGCUCCUCAGCCCCCCUGCUAAAUGACCUGGAGAAGGUCCCUGCCCCUCUCUGGGCCUUGGUUUCCCCCUCCGUAAGAUGGGCUUGAUUCCACCUGCCUCAGAGGGAUGCUGUGAGGGGGACAGACCAGCCCACGUGGAAAGCAACUGGUAGACAGCAGAUACUCAGUAGGUGUGUAGGCCUUCCCUCCACCUCCCUGCCUUGAAGAUGGGGCCAUCCUGGCUCCACCAGCAGCAUCCCCUCAGAGAGCAGUGUGACCCAUCCCAAGCGCAAAGUUAGAGGCCUCCGGGGUGAGGAUCCAGUCGGCACUCAUUCAUUGGCUCACUCAGCACGCCUUUACUGAGCAUCUGUUGUGUGCUAAGGGCUGUUGAUUAAAUUCUCAUACACUUCCUGGACUUGAUGGUCUGAGCUUUACAGAUGAGACAAUGGGCUCAGAGAGGUGCAGUGACUGGACCAGGAUCACACAGGAGAGGGACAGGAUAGGGAUUCUCGGCCAGCCAGGUCUGACUCCCAAGCCCACAGCACUUCCAGGGUGCGCUGAGCCCUUGCUUAGGAGCCGGGCAGGGGUCGCCCCCACUCCCGGGAGCCUCGUGUCUCGGCUGAAAGUGUUACUGUGCCAGGUUCAUUUUUGCCCGCCACCCAGAAAGGCAAACCUCGAGACGACGAGAUUGCAGCAGAGAAGGUGUUUACUCACAAGGCAGCCAUGAGAGGAAGCGAGAGCAUGAGCCUCAAAUU